Molecule: ribosomal RNA, 440 nt
Filed under: uncultured bacterium
Lineage: Bacteria
Description: partial 16S ribosomal RNA
Rfam family: Bacterial small subunit ribosomal RNA
Source: RNAcentral
CCUACGGGAGGCAGCAGUGGGGAAUAUUGCACAAUGGGGGAAACCCUGAUGCAGCAACGCCGCGUGAAGGAAGACGGUUUUCGGAUUGUAAACUUCUGUUCUAAGUGAAGAAUAAUGACGGUAGCUAAGGAGCAAGCCACGGCAAACAACGUGCCAGCAGCCGAGGUAUAAGUAGGUGGCAAGCGUUUGCCGGAAUUACUGGGUGUAAAGGGAGCGCCGGCGGGGAAGCAAGUCAGCUAGUAAAACCAAGGGCUUAACUUGUAGACUGCAGUUGAAACUGGUUUUCUUGAGUGAAGUAGAGGUUGGCGGAAUUCCGAGUGUAGCGGUGAAAUGCGUAGAUAUUCGGAGGAACACCGGUGGCGAAGGCGGCCAACUGGGCUUUAACUGACGCUGAGGCUCGAAAGUGUGGGGAGCAAACAGGAUUAGAUACCCUUGUAGUC